This 460-nucleotide ribosomal RNA is filed under the name uncultured Rhodococcus sp. Its description in RNAcentral is "bacterial SSU rRNA". It matches the Rfam family "Bacterial small subunit ribosomal RNA", at positions 923 to 1382 of the family's 1533-position model. The record is from RNAcentral. Lineage: Bacteria; Bacillati; Actinomycetota; Actinomycetes; Mycobacteriales; Nocardiaceae.
GCACAAGCGGCGGAGCAUGUGGAUUAAUUCGAUGCAACGCGAAGAACCUUACCUGGGUUUGACAUAUACCGGAAAGCUGCAGAGAUGUCGGCCCCCCUUGUGGUCGGUAUACAGGUGGUGCAUGGCUGUCGUCAGCUCGUGUCGUGAGAUGUUGGGUUAAGUCCCGCAACGAGCGCAACCCCCAUCUUAUGUUGCCAGCACGUUAUGGUGGGGACUCGUAAGAGACUGCCGGGGUCAACUCGGAGGAAGGUGGGGACGACGUCAAGUCAUCAUGCCCCUUAUGUCCAGGGCUUCACACAUGCUACAAUGGCCAGUACAGAGGGCUGCGAGACCGUGAGGUGGAGCGAAUCCCUUAAAGCUGGUCUCAGUUCGGAUCGGGGUCUGCAACUCGACCCCGUGAAGUCGGAGUCGCUAGUAAUCGCGCAUCAGCCAUGGCGCGGUGAAUACGUUCCCGGGCCUU